This 524-nucleotide long non-coding RNA is filed under the name Sorghum bicolor (sorghum). RNAcentral describes it as "long non-coding RNA (SBIC_LNC004257)". Lineage: Eukaryota; Viridiplantae; Streptophyta; Magnoliopsida; Poales; Poaceae. The record is from RNAcentral.
AGCGGUUUCGAAGGCAGGUUUACUACAGUAAAUAGUGGUUUUGCUACAGUACCAUUGGUUUGCCUCCCUCAACUUUUGAAGCUGUGUAUCUACUUAUAUGGAGUAAAAAAAUUAGAUUUUCCAUGUUAUGAUUUCCUGUGAUUUACUAUGAUUUUUCAAAAAUUCAGCCGAAAUAAUUUAAAAAGAAAAAGACAAAACCACUGUUAAACCACCAUUCACUAUAGCAAAACCAUCUUCGGAAGUGCUCCAAAGAGAUAAAAUGCAUGGUUUGAAAAGUUGAGAGAGGUGGUUUGCUCGAUUUUGAGGUUGAGGAAGAAAAAAUUAACUUUCGUGAAAGUUGGAUGAGAAAAGUAGAUUUUUUGUGGACAUAUAUGGUACCCACUACCUGUGACUAUGUGAGAGAGCAUCGACGCGGACAAUUCCUCUCGCCCACGGGAAGAGUUUCGGCCCACGUCCACACAUUUGCAUUGGCCCAUUCAGCGUCAAUAUAUUUGGCCGCGUAGGAGAGCCGUCGACUACGUUAU